Molecule: long non-coding RNA, 721 nt
Organism: Temnothorax curvispinosus
Lineage: Eukaryota; Metazoa; Arthropoda; Insecta; Hymenoptera; Formicidae
Exons: 3
Source: RefSeq, a predicted model, not a curated record
UUACGCGAACGCAUGAGUUGCGAGUAUCCGAGAUUUUGAGAUCUCAAUAACGAGUGAACGGAUCAAUUUCUAAAAACGUCCACGUCGGACAAAAAUGGCGGCUGGUGUGUCACUUUCCCAUUUUUGACACGAGAGUGCAUUCGUGCACUGUCGCAGUGCGUGACAGUGACAGUUUUUUACAACCUAGAAAAGGAUAAGUGUAAAGUGUGUGAUAGUCGUGACCGUUGCCGCGUCGUGACAGAUAGUGAAAUAUAUAUAAGUAUUGACCGUAGAGAGCUGAUGCCGAUAGAUCUUUAAGAAGGAAGGUGUAUCUACAAAAUCGUACAAACACAGAGAUGUCGAGGAGAUCUUUAAAAGAAGGAAGGUAUAUUCAAAAUGGCACACGUACGUAUAUGCUGUCUUGUAAAAGUUGUCGAACUAUAUGUUUACGCGAGUGAGUACAUCUAUAUAGUAACUUACAGUAAUUCAUAUUAAGAUACGUCGUCGUCUCUCAAUCAGAGAAACGUAACCUUCACUACUUUCAACGGUGGCUCUUGAUUUCCGAUCAUAAUAGUUACUAUAAAAUCUCCCGUUUACGCGGAGGAAUUAUCGUAUCGUAAGUUACUACAGAAGUAACGUUUGCGUAAAUAGGUUAUAAAAAUAACACGAUGUUAUAUAUGUGGUUUGCCGUGAAUAUAUAUAUAUGUGUGUGUGUGUGUGUGUGUGUGUGUGUGUGUGUGUG